UCUUGGUCAUUUAGAGGAAGUAAAAGUCGUAACAAGGUCUCCGUAGGUGAACCUGCGGAGGGAUCAUUACACAAUAUGAAAGCGGGCUGGCAUCCUUCGGGGUUACAGCCUUGCUGAAUUAUUCACCCGUGUCUUUUGCGUACUUCUUGUUUCCUUGGUGGGUUCGCCCACCAUAGGACAAACCAUAAACCUUUUGUAAUUGCAAUCAGCGUCAGUAAAAAAAUUAAUAAUUACAACUUUUAACAACGGAUCUCUUGGUUCUGGCAUCGAUGAAGAACGCAGCGAAAUGCGAUAAGUAGUGUGAAUUGCAGAAUUCAGUGAAUCAUCGAAUCUUUGAACGCACAUUGCGCCCUUUGGUAUUCCAAAGGGCAUGCCUGUUCGAGCGUCAUUUGUACCCUCAAGCUUUGCUUGGUGUUGGGCGUCUUGUCUCCAGUUCGCUGGAGACUCGCCUUAAAGUAAUUGGCAGCCGGCCUACUGGUUUCGGAGCGCAGCACAAGUCGCGCUCUCUUCCAGCCAAGGUCAGCAUCCACAAAGCCUUUUUUCAACUUUUGACCUCGGAUCAGGUAGGGAUACCCGCUGAACUUAAGCAUAUCAAUA
Molecule: ribosomal RNA, 597 nt
Filed under: Ascomycota sp. UNEX FECRGA 2012E340
Lineage: Eukaryota; Fungi; Ascomycota
Description: eukaryotic LSU rRNA
Rfam family: 5.8S ribosomal RNA (bases 235-388)
Source: RNAcentral